GUGCUCACUUUAACGUCAUAUACACUAACAUUAGAAUGAUGCAGAGAGGGAUUAACAUAACCCCUGAACAAGGAUGAUACACAAAUUUGUGACGUGUUCCAUAUUUUU
Molecule: small nuclear RNA, 108 nt
Organism: Cricetulus griseus (Chinese hamster)
Lineage: Eukaryota; Metazoa; Chordata; Mammalia; Rodentia; Cricetidae
Source: Ensembl